AGUGAACGCUGGCGGUAGGCCUAACACAUGCAAGUCGAACGGCAGCACAGUAAGAGCUUGCUCUUACGGGUGGCGAGUGGCGGACGGGUGAGGAAUACAUCGGAAUCUACUUUUUCGUGGGGGAUAACGUAGGGAAACUUACGCUAAUACCGCAUACGACCUACGGGUGAAAGCAGGGGAUCUUCGGACCUUGCGCGAUUGAAUGAGCCGAUGUCGGAUUAGCUAGUUGGCGGGGUAAAGGCCCACCAAGGCGACGAUCCGUAGCUGGCCUGAGAGGAUGAUCAGCCACACUGGAACUGAGACGCGGUCCAGACUCCUACGGGAGGCAGCAGUGGGGAAUAUUGGACAAUGGGCGCAAGCCUGAUCCAGCCAUACCGCGUGGGUGAAGAAGGCCUUCGGGUUGUAAAGCCCUUUUGUUGGGAAAGAAAAGCAGCAGGUUAAUACCCCGCUGUUCUGACGGUACCCAAAGAAUAAGCGCCGGCUAACUUCGUG
This 492-nucleotide ribosomal RNA is filed under the name uncultured bacterium. RNAcentral's name for it is "partial 16S ribosomal RNA". It matches the Rfam family "Bacterial small subunit ribosomal RNA", at positions 29 to 507 of the family's 1533-position model. The record is from RNAcentral.